AUUCAGAUGACGAGUCCCAAACAGGACGAAAUGCGCAUCCUGGAU
This is a non-coding RNA of Trichobilharzia regenti, 45 nucleotides long. The record is from Rfam. Lineage: Eukaryota; Metazoa; Platyhelminthes; Trematoda; Strigeidida; Schistosomatidae.